Molecule: unclassified non-coding RNA, 2492 nt
Organism: Vigna unguiculata (cowpea)
Lineage: Eukaryota; Viridiplantae; Streptophyta; Magnoliopsida; Fabales; Fabaceae
Source: RefSeq, a predicted model, not a curated record
AAGUGUUAGGAUUGAAUCUUUCCCGCUUCUCACAUACUCACAGCCAUUUUUCCCAGGACACAGGUCUUGUUCAUGCUCUAGCGCUUUUCCUUCUCCUGCGCUCUCGCUGACCAUUCCCAUCGUCGUUGGUGGUUCUCGGUGACGGAUUCCUUUCUUCCUCUGGCGCUCUCGCACUCUGCUGUGGUGGUGAUCUUUUAUUGCUAGUAAAAGUUUAUCCCUCGCCUUCGAUGACCAAUGCUCGUCCCUCACCUUGAAACCCUCACUCUCUUAGCAUAGAAGAAUACGCCCAAUCCGUGACUUAUUAUUAAAUGUGUGUUGAAUAGGGCUCCGAUGAAGGUUUCAACCGAUGCAAUCCACAUUGAUUCCAAGAAGGUGAAAGACGCUGUGGUGGUUCGGAACGAGUCGGUGUUGAAAUUGUGGUUGAAAUGGCUGUUCGUAUUUGAUCGUUAGUUAUCGAAGAACAACUGAGAUGUAGCAACAGAAAUUGAAACCCAAAAUGGUGCAGAAUUUCAUGGAGGAACAACCUCUGACACAGAAAUGUGGUCGCAACCUGCAACUACUUCAACGCAAAUUGCUCACCGCCACCAGAACCAUCCACCACGACGCCGCUGAAUCACUCAAGGAGAUUAUAGAUAUUCUUUUCAAAUGCGUGACAAAAAGAUCUCGGGUUCUGUGAAGGAAAACCUGUUGCAGCAUUUACCCUUUACGAUUGUCUGCUACAUCGGAAAUCUUUUGAAGCAGAAAAAACAAGGAUAUUUGAUCGUCUUAUUCAGAUUAUUGGUUCUGAAAUAGAGGAUCCAGACAAAAAAUGAUUCUAUGGCUUAUUGGCUAUCCAACACAUCUUUGUUUUUCCAUCUUCAUUGAUGUUUAAGAGUACCUACAGCGCGGAAACCGCCCUCUCCGACAUCAUUUUUUGGGAGGAUGGCCCAAGUAUCAAGUUUCUUUAUUGCCAUGUCUUGAGCAUAAGCUCCAUAUUGGGUCAUUCUGAAGAUUAAUAUUCUAUUUGCAGAUAUGAUUGUUUAGGUGUUAUAUAUUAUAAGCUGGUAUGAAAUUAAUUAGACUGUCUAGUGCUUUCAAAUGUAUAACCAAUAAUGAAGGUUGUCAAUAGGAUAUGGUUGUCUCCUUAUUGCCUGUAACAUGCUAUAUGAGUACACUUAGCUCUGUAGCAUGUAAGUGUCUAAUGUUCAAUACUAAUAAAGGCCAAAGAAAAUGAAAAAUAAACUAUGCAAGAAUUGCUACCCAAAAUCAGUAAAAUCUCAAUUAUAUUUCUAUUACACACCUUGUUCUAUGCUAACAACUCUUUUUUAUGAAAAAAGUAAUAAAUUAUUUCUUGGUCUGAUUUUUGUCCCAAAUAAGAGGCAUAAAAGAUUAUGCUUGUGCUAUAGUAGCAUCCAUACACAUUGUUAUUUUCAUUUUAAUUAGACCUAAAUAUUGUAACUAUUGAUUAUAGAGAUAAUUCCAUUAAACUCACUAUAUGGAAUUUGAUGUUUCUCAGGGUUUUCGAUCAUCUAAUAGGCUUUCCAGCAGUGCUUUUGAUGUAGUGCAUCAGGUUGGUGCCAAGUAUACUGCUCUGCUUUUCAAGCAAUAGCUUGCAGCUUACAUGGAAAAGAUAUAUGGAAUUGUUCGAGAAAAUUUUAGGACAAAUUUGACACUUCUGCUUUCUUCUUGCAUUAAGGCAGAUAGAGAAUCAAAUGACACCAGCCAACAAGCAGGUUCUUGGGUCAGCAUUAUGGAGUGCCUUAAUAAAUAUCUAGAGAUUAUGAAAGAAAACUAUGUAUGUGAAGGUUUAACAGUACAGUGAAUUGGUAUAUGUACAACCCUUGCCUUCCAAGUACUUUUUAAUGUUAUAGAGCAAAGUGAUUUUAAGUUUUGCCCCAGGUGCCUACUGUUCUAGUUCACAAGCUAUUUAAUCAAAAUUUUCAAUACAUCAAUGUCUUGUUUCAUUCAACCCUUUUACAGUAAUGGACUAAUUAUAGGCAUUGCAUCUAGGUUGACUUGAGAAUUGGGAAUGCUAUGUUCUCCAGCAUUCUUUUGCAAGGAGAGUGUUGCACGUUCAAAGAUGGAGAAUAUGUAAAAUCAGGUUUGGCUGAGCUAGAAGGAUGGUGUACUGAAGCAACGAAAGAGUACAUUAGCUCAUCUUUGGAUGAAUUCAAACAUGCAACACAAGGAGUUAAAUUCUUGGUUGCAGAAUAGAAUGGAAGUUGUGUAGAUAGUUAUUUUGAAGUUUCAAAUAGUAGUUUAGUGUUGUUUUCAGUUUUAGCCUAUUCUAGUCUAGUCUAAUUGAAGUUUUAGGUUCUUGAUAGUAAAUUUUUGACCAAGGAGUUUUGAAGGAAGUUUGAAAGUGGUGUGUUUCGUUUCUUUUAAAUGUUUAUAAAAGAUUAUCUUAGGUAUUUUAUGAGUUUUUAUGUAAAUAUUAAAUGUAUAGUCAUUCAGUUUAGAAUUGUAUUAUAUCUCAUAUAAAUAUUAGAUUGUAUUUUAUCUGAACAUCAGAU